RNAcentral lists this ribosomal RNA (621 nucleotides) under uncultured bacterium. RNAcentral describes it as "bacterial SSU rRNA". It matches the Rfam family "Bacterial small subunit ribosomal RNA", at positions 338 to 954 of the family's 1533-position model. The record is from RNAcentral.
CCUACGGGAGGCAGCAGUGGGGAAUUUUGGACAAUGGGCGCAAGCCUGAUCCAGCCAUGCCGCGUGCAGGAUGAAGGCCUUCGGGUUGUAAACUGCUUUUGUACGGAACGAAAAGACUCUGGUUAAUACCUGGGGUCCAUGACGGUACCGUAAGAAUAAGCACCGGCUAACUACGUGCCAGCAGCCGCGGUAAUACGUAGGGUGCGAGCGUUAAUCGGAAUUACUGGGCGUAAAGCGUGCGCAGGCGGUUAUAUAAGACAGAUGUGAAAUCCCCGGGCUCAACCUGGGAACUGCAUUUGUGACUGUAUAGCUAGAGUACGGCAGAGGGGGAUGGAAUUCCGCGUGUAGCAGUGAAAUGCGUAGAUAUGCGGAGGAACACCGAUGGCGAAGGCAAUCCCCUGGGCCUGUACUGACGCUCAUGCACGAAAGCGUGGGGAGCAAACAGGAUUAGAUACCCUGGUAGUCCACGCCCUAAACGAUGUCAACUGGUUGUUGGGUCUUCACUGACUCAGUAACGAAGCUAACGCGUGAAGUUGACCGCCUGGGGAGUACGGCGCAAGGUUGAAACUCAAAUGAAAUUGACGGCGNGAGACGAGCGACGGACGACGACGAGGGAGGAGG